AGAGUUUGAUCCUGGCUCAGAACGAACGCUGGCGGCGUGCUUAACACAUGCAAGUCCAACGUGAAAGGGGAGCAAUCCCCCGGUAGGGUGGCGAACGGGUGAGUAAUACAUGGGAAUCUGUCCUGGAGAUGGGGAUAUCCUUCCGGAAAGGAGGGUUAAUACCGAAUAUCGUCCGGGUGACGGGAGUCACUUAGGGGAAAGGGAGGCCUCUGGCAACAUGCUUCCGNUCCGGGAGAGCCCNUGGCCCAUCAGCUAGUUGGUAGGGUAAC
RNAcentral lists this ribosomal RNA (269 nucleotides) under uncultured prokaryote. RNAcentral's name for it is "partial 16S ribosomal RNA". It matches the Rfam family "Bacterial small subunit ribosomal RNA", at positions 8 to 261 of the family's 1533-position model. The record is from RNAcentral.